Molecule: non-coding RNA, 21 nt
Filed under: Caenorhabditis elegans
Lineage: Eukaryota; Metazoa; Nematoda; Chromadorea; Rhabditida; Rhabditidae
Source: RNAcentral
UAACCCGGCUGGAUCCACAUG